Non-coding RNA from Sus scrofa (pig), 80 nucleotides. Lineage: Eukaryota; Metazoa; Chordata; Mammalia; Artiodactyla; Suidae. The record is from Rfam.
CCACACAGCAUAGUACCCAGAGUCCGUCCUUUGUACCUGACAUCGUACCUGACACUGUUAGGCUGGAAUUGAAGUGGUUU